RNAcentral lists this ribosomal RNA (484 nucleotides) under uncultured bacterium. RNAcentral describes it as "partial 16S ribosomal RNA". It matches the Rfam family "Bacterial small subunit ribosomal RNA", at positions 28 to 507 of the family's 1533-position model. The record is from RNAcentral.
AUUGAACGCUGGCGGCAUGCUUUACACAUGCAAGUCGAACGGCAGCGCGGGCUUCGGCCUGGCGGCGAGUGGCGAACGGGUGAGUAAUGCAUCGGAACGUGCCCAGCUGCGGGGGAUAGCCCGGCGAAAGCCGGAUUAAUACCGCAUACGACCUGAGGGUGAAAGCGGGGGACCGAAAGGCCUCGCGCUAUUGGAGCGGCCGAUGUCGGAUUAGCUAGUUGGUGGGGUAAAGGCUUACCAAGGCGACGAUCCGUAGCUGGUCUGAGAGGACGACCAGCCACACUGGGACUGAGACACGGCCCAGACUCCUACGGGAGGCAGCAGUGGGGAAUUUUGGACAAUGGGGGCAACCCUGAUCCAGCCAUGCCGCGUGCGGGAAGAAGGCCUUCGGGUUGUAAACCGCUUUUGUUCGGGAAGAAAUCCUCUGGGCUAAUACCCCGGGGGGAUGACGGUACCGGAAGAAUAAGCACCGGCUAACUACGUG